GACGAACGCUGGCGGCGUGCUUAACACAUGCAAGUCGAACGGAAAGGCCCUGCUUUUGUGGGGUGCUCGAGUGGCGAACGGGUGAGUAACACGUGAGUAACCUGCCCUUGACUUUGGGAUAACUUCAGGAAACUGGGGCUAAUACCGGAUAGGAGCUCCUGCUGCAUGGUGGGGGUUGGAAAGUCUCGGCGGUUGGGGAUGGACUCGCGGCUUAUCAGCUUGUUGGUGGGGUAGUGGCUUACCAAGGCUUUGACGGGUAGCCGGCCUGAGAGGGUGACCGGCCACAUUGGGACUGAGAUACGGCCCAGACUCCUACGGGAGGCAGCAGUGGGGAAUAUUGCACAAUGGGCGGAAGCCUGAUGCAGCAACGCCGCGUGCGGGAUGACGGCCUUCGGGUUGUAAACCGCUUUCGCCUGUGACGAAGCGUGAGUGACGGUAAUGGGUAAAGAAGCACCGGCUAACUACGG
RNAcentral lists this ribosomal RNA (467 nucleotides) under uncultured bacterium. Its description in RNAcentral is "partial 16S ribosomal RNA". It matches the Rfam family "Bacterial small subunit ribosomal RNA", at positions 28 to 506 of the family's 1533-position model. The record is from RNAcentral.